Molecule: ribosomal RNA, 831 nt
Filed under: Escherichia coli
Lineage: Bacteria; Pseudomonadati; Pseudomonadota; Gammaproteobacteria; Enterobacterales; Enterobacteriaceae
Description: bacterial SSU rRNA
Rfam family: Bacterial small subunit ribosomal RNA
Source: RNAcentral
UUUAUGGAGAGUUUGAUCCUGGCUCAGGAUGAACGCUGGCGGCGUGCCUAAUACAUGCAAGUCGAGCGAACGGACGAGAAGCUUGCUUCUCUGAUGUUAGCGGCGGACGGGUGAGUAACACGUGGAUAACCUACCUAUAAGACUGGGAUAACUUCGGGAAACCGGAGCUAAUACCGGAUAAUAUUUUGAACCGCAUGCUUCAAAAGUGAAAGACGGUCUUGCUGUCACUUAUAGAUGGAUCCGCGCUGCAUUAGCUAGUUGGUAAGGUAACGGCUUACCAAGGCAACGAUGCAUAGCCGACCUGAGAGGGUGAUCGGCCACACUGGAACUGAGACACGGUCCAGACUCCUACGGGAGGCAGCAGUAGGGAAUCUUCCGCAAUGGGCGAAAGCCUGACGGAGCAACGCCGCGUGAGUGAUGAAGGUCUUCGGAUCGUAAAACUCUGUUAUUAGGGAAGAACAUAUGUGUAAGUAACUGUGCACAUCUUGACGGUACCUAAUCAGAAAGCCACGGCUAACUACGUGCCAGCAGCCGCGGUAAUACGUAGGUGGCAAGCGUUAUCCGGAAUUAUUGGGCGUAAAGCGCGCGUAGGCGGUUUUUUAAGUCUGAUGUGAAAGCCCACGGCUCAACCGUGGAGGGUCAUUGGAAACUGGAAAACUUGAGUGCAGAAGAGGAAAGUGGAAUUCCAUGUGUAGCGGUGAAAUGCGCAGAGAUAUGGAGGAACACCAGUGGCGAAGGCGACUUUCUGGUCUGUAACUGACGCUGAUGUGCGAAAGCGUGGGGAUCAAACAGGAUUAGAUACCCUGGUAGUCCACGCCGUAAACGAUGAGU